CCUACGGGAGGCAGCAGUGAGGAAUAUUGGACAAUGGACGAAAGUCUGAUCCAGCCAUGCCGCGUGCAGGAUGACGGCCCUAUGGGUUGUAAACUGCUUUUAUACAGGAAGAAACACUCCCACGUGUGGGGGCUUGACGGUACUGUACGAAUAAGGAUCGGCUAACUCCGUGCCAGCAGCCGCGGUAAUACGGAGGAUCCAAGCGUUAUCCGGAAUUAUUGGGUUUAAAGGGUCCGCAGGCGGUCUAUUAAGUCAGAGGUGAAAUCUUGCAGCUCAACUGUAAAAUUGCCCUUGAUACUGGUAGACUUGAGUCAUUGUGAAGUGGUUAGAAUGUGUGGUGUAGCGGUGAAAUGCAUAGAUAUCACACAGAAUACCAAUUGCGAAGGCAGAUCACUAACAAUGUACUGACGCUCAUGGACGAAAGCGUGGGGAGCGAACAGGAUUAGAUACCCUGGUAGUCCACGCCGUAAACGAUGGAUACUAACUGUUCGACCUUCGGGUUGAGUGGUUAAGCGAAAGUGAUAAGUAUCCCACCUGGGGAGUACGCUCGCAAGAGUGAAACUCAAAUGAAUUGACGGA
Molecule: ribosomal RNA, 579 nt
Filed under: uncultured bacterium
Lineage: Bacteria
Description: bacterial SSU rRNA
Rfam family: Bacterial small subunit ribosomal RNA
Source: RNAcentral